Small nucleolar RNA from Arvicola amphibius (Eurasian water vole), 129 nucleotides. RefSeq annotates it as small nucleolar RNA SNORA38. The transcript has a single exon. The record is from RefSeq and is a predicted model, not a curated record. Lineage: Eukaryota; Metazoa; Chordata; Mammalia; Rodentia; Cricetidae.
UCCUCCUGCAAAGGCAUGCUUUUGGUUCCUUGUUCUUGCACACGUAAGAAUAAGAGGCAGAAAAUGUGGAUUUGCAAAGUCUGAGACUGGCUUGCUCCCUGCAAGCUCUGGAUCAUCCAUCCCACAGAG